AUGGGCCUCUCGGUGAUCGCGCCGCCGGCGGGCGACUCGGCGUCCCCGGCCCACCGCCGCGCGCGCCGCGCCUUCCUCGUCUCAAACUACAUGAUCCUCGGCGCGGCGUCCGGGUGCGGCUUCCUCACGCUCUCGCUCCGCCUCGUGCCCUCCGUCGACGGCUUCCUCCUCAUCCUGCUCCACGCGCUCACCGUGGCGGCCGCCGUGGCCGGGUGCGCCGUCAUCGCGGCGCCCGACCCGCCGCGCGGCCGCGUGUACACCGCCCACAUGUCCGCCACCGUCGUCGUGUCCAUCCUGCAGGGCGCCGCCGCCGUGCUCGCCUUCUCCCGCACCGCCGAGUUCCUCGCCGACGGGCUCCGGUCCUACGUCCGCGAGGAGGACGGCGCCGUCAUCCUGCGCAUGAUCGGCGGGCUCGGCAUCGCCAUCUUCUGCCUCGAGUGGGUCGCCCUCGCGCUCGCAUUCGUCCUCAGGUACUACGCCUACGUCGACAGGGAGUGCGGCGGCAACCCCAUGCGCCGCAGCGCCAAGGUCGGCGGCGAGGAUGGCGCCGGCAACUGGCCGUGGCCAUUCCAGGUCUGA
Molecule: ribosomal RNA, 579 nt
Filed under: Triticum aestivum (bread wheat)
Lineage: Eukaryota; Viridiplantae; Streptophyta; Magnoliopsida; Poales; Poaceae
Description: partial small subunit ribosomal RNA
Source: RNAcentral